AUGUAUAUCCCACAAAUGAGCUGGUGCAGAGAGCGUGUGCCAGCUCCUCAGACGCGCCACAGUCCCCCUUCCCGCCAAGCCUCGGUUACGUGGCAAGGGGGAAAUUAUUUAGCUAACGGUCCCUUCUCCAAACACCUUCCCAGCCGGGAGGUCAGCUGGGCCCGGGUCCCAGCGGAGGCCCGCGUUAGCGCUCAGGCGGCGCUACCCUCUCCCUCCCGGGCCUCCCGGGCCCUCCGGCCGGCCCGGCACUCACCGUCUCGGGGUCGUUCUCGAACACCUCCCGGGCCUCCUCCUUGUUGCACAGCUCUUCUAUGCACUCCCUCUCCAGGUGGCCCUGCUUGGCCUCCUCGAAGACCUGGAAUAUUUCGCAAAGUCACAGGCAACAAAACCAACGAACCAACAAAACCAAAACCGAGCAGACGGUUCGCAGGGACCCCGACCCAGACCAGGCAGGGAAGAGGGGCGCGGUGUGGAGGAUCCUGCUCCGGAGAUCCACGCACUCCCCCCCAGCGGCCCAGGCGGCUGCGGUCAACCCUGUGAAGUCCAGGCACCCCAGCUUCCCCACUGGACCGCCAUUGCUGGUGAACUCUUCCUGCUGCUUUCGGCGACUAGGGCCACCACAGCAGCAGACGUUUCCUGUGUCUUGUGCCUCUGCCACCUGAGCUCUCACCUGCAGCGGUGACGGGGUUCCUGAGCGCGCUGGGGGCACCCGCUUCUAGCGCCUGCUUUCAGCCUGAGGCGUUUUCCACUCAUCCAUCACAGGAAGCGCCUGGACAGUGUGAGAAGUUAGUGCCCCUGUCGAGCCCUCCUGAAAUGAUAAGGACCAGGAGUGAGAGGAUAAAUGCCCCCCCUCACUCUCCCCCGGGGGGUUCUUCUGAGGCACCAUCUACACCUCCUGUUCCCCCCGCUCUUCUUGGGGACUCCUCUGAAGUGCCGUCCACACCUCCUGUUGAGUGUCUUCAGCAGGAAAGCACUGCAGUCAUCCUCAGUGAAAACCCGUUCAACAACACACCCUGCAUUUGCUUCCACCCCUUCCCGGUCUCCCUUUCCCCACCCCUGCUCUCUUCCAGAAAUCCCACGUAUACUCCCCACACCCAAAUCUCCGUCCCCGCCUCUGCUUUGGGGGAACCCAAAAUAAGAGAGGCUCCCCAUUCACCAUCCUCCCAUCUAGGAAGCUUUGUCAGGUGCCACAGUCAGGCAUUUAAUCUCUGCCUGAACGUGCUCUGUGGCCGGAAACUGAUUUCCUUUUAAGUUGAUAUAUCACAUUUUAUUCUAUCAUUUUAUAAAUAUUCAGGGAUUGAUCUUCUUUCAGCUUUGUGGGCUCAGACUCGUUCUUAGAGGCCCAGGUCAGGUAAUAUUUUUUCCUGGAAUGGAUGUACUCAUGCUCGACUGUGAAGCACUAACUAGUCACCAAAUGAAUGAAGCCUAUAUUUAUUUAGGUUAUGGAAUUAAGCAGUCAAGAAGGUACAUGGCAGACCCUUAAUCAAUACUUUUAAAAAUUAAAUAAAUAAAAGAAAAAUGAGCUGUGAAAGGGAGAAUGAAUUGACACUGAAGAGACCUGUCAUCCAGACCCAGAUUUAGAAUCUACAACUGGCAGCAAAUUGCAGGUUGUCGGCUAUAAUCAUUUCCCCUUUCCAGGGAAAGGGAGACUCUGAGAGAUGACGUGGCCUAUGGUCACGUCACCAGUAACUAUAUUUGUGCCCUGCACUCACUCUGCAGCUGCAUUUCUCCCCUUCUGUUUUGUCAUCAACUCAUAUCCCGAUUCUAGAUUCCCUCCUCCCCUUGUCUCCUACGUUUGAUCAGUCACCACGUCUAUUCUUUCUCCUGCAGACUUCUUUACCUGCGCCAGUGUAGAAUUUUCCUUGUUGUUCUCCUUUCUCUUUCUGUUUAACCUCACAAAGCUGCCAGAGUGAUGGCAAAAACACACAGCCAGUUCUGGGUGGUUUUUUGGGGGUAAUGUCUCCGGUGGUUCCCAUGGACUGCAAGUGUAUUUCUCAAAGUGCGCUUUGAAAAAUACCUGCUCAGAGUUACACGGGCUUGGGAACAUGCAGAUUCUUAAGUUCUGACCCAGACAAACUGAAUCAGAAUUUCUGGGAGUAGGUCCUGGGAAUCUAUAUUUAACAACCACUCCAGGCAAUUCAGGUACACAGUAAAGUGUAAGAGCCACUGGCUUAAAGGAUAACUUGGAAGCUUCUGGCACAAUUUACAGGGCCUUAAAAAAUCAACUUACCAUUUCUAACUCACUGCUUCAGCCACUUUCUUCAAAUUCGACCUUGGCCUGCCUCUCGUGUCUCUGUAGCUUUGCAUAGUCCCUCUUUCUGGAGGGUCUGUUCUCUUCUUUUCUACCGGGAAUACUCCUACUCAUUUUCAAGAGCCAAUUCAAAUAUUGCCUCCUCUGUGAAGCCUUCCUAGAAGGCCCAACUGAUUUAGUCACAAGCCUCUGAAAGCCUCUCUGCACAUGCCGUACCUCUGUCACAGAGCUGAAAUGAUUUCUUUAUGUGUUGGAUCAGAUAGCAACCACAGUACAACAAGCCCAGCCAAAGGAGCCUAUGAAAAGAGAGGCAAUUCAUUCCUUGUGUAACUCCAAAGCCCAUGGGGUAGGGCUGGUUGAUGCAGAGGAUGGCACGAAGCCACCCUGUCCUGCUCUGUCUUUCUGUGGUUUGCUCUGGGGUGGCUCCAUUCUCAGCCAGGCUCCCCUCGUUA
RNAcentral lists this long non-coding RNA (2703 nucleotides) under Dasypus novemcinctus (nine-banded armadillo). RNAcentral describes it as "lncRNA (ENSDNOG00000052439.1)". The record is from RNAcentral. Lineage: Eukaryota; Metazoa; Chordata; Mammalia; Cingulata; Dasypodidae.